This 96-nucleotide small nuclear RNA is filed under the name Propithecus coquereli (Coquerel's sifaka). The record is from RNAcentral. Lineage: Eukaryota; Metazoa; Chordata; Mammalia; Primates; Indriidae.
GUGCUUGUUUUGGCAGCACAGAUACUAAAAUUGGACCAAUACAGAGAAGAUUAGCAUAGGAAUGACAUGCAAAUUCAUAAAAUAUUCCAAAUUUUU